Molecule: long non-coding RNA, 438 nt
Filed under: Physcomitrium patens
Lineage: Eukaryota; Viridiplantae; Streptophyta; Bryopsida; Funariales; Funariaceae
Description: long non-coding RNA (PPAT_LNC014945)
Source: RNAcentral
AAUUCUAAUAUAAUCCUAAUUAAAAUCCUAAUUUAAUCUUAAUAAAAUCUUAGGUCAAAUCCUAAUUUAAACCUUAAUUGAACCUUAAUCAAAUCCUAUGUCAAACCCUAAUAAAAUCCUAAUGAAAUCCUAAAUCCUAAACAAAUCCUAAACAAGUUUAAGACCAAAUCCCAAACAAAUCCUAAACCAAAGCCUAAUCAAAGCCUAGAUCUUAAACAAACUCUUAAUAAAUCCUAUAGCAAAUAGAACCUCAACAACUAAUAAUCAAACCAUUGAUAUUAAUUUGAAAUUUUCACACUUCUUAAUGUCUUAGUUAAAGACAAGCACAAGAAAGAUGAAAUCAAUUGCACUUACCAAUUGAAAAAAAUGCAAGAUAAUCCAAUCGGGUGUUAAGUAGCCUCCUACUCCAAUCUAAAUGUUGAACUUCUAAUGCCAAUA